RNAcentral lists this ribosomal RNA (303 nucleotides) under uncultured bacterium. Its description in RNAcentral is "partial 16S ribosomal RNA". It matches the Rfam family "Bacterial small subunit ribosomal RNA", at positions 507 to 807 of the family's 1533-position model. The record is from RNAcentral.
AGCAGUAGCCGCGGUAAUACGUAGGGUGCAAGCGUUAAUCGGAAUUACUGGGCGUAAAGCGUGCGCAGGCGGUUUGUUAAGACAGAUGUGAAAUCCCCGGGCUCAACCUGGGAACUGCAUUUGUGACUGGCAAGCUAGAGUCUGGCAGAGGAUGGUGGAAUUCCCGGUAUAGCGGUGAAAUGCGUAGAGAUCGGGAGGAACAUCAGUGGCGAAGGCGGCCAUCUGGGACAACACUGACGCUGAGGCACGAAAGCGUGGGGAGCAAACAGGAUUAGAUACCCCUGUAGUCCCUGUCUCUUAUAC